GUGCUCGCUUCGGCAGCACAUAUACUAAAAUUGGAACGAUACAGAGAAGUUUAGCAUGGCCCCUGCGCAAGCAUAAAAGAAACCAUAUCAGAAAUCAGACAGGAAAAA
RNAcentral lists this small nuclear RNA (108 nucleotides) under Vicugna pacos (alpaca). Lineage: Eukaryota; Metazoa; Chordata; Mammalia; Artiodactyla; Camelidae. The record is from RNAcentral.